Molecule: ribosomal RNA, 469 nt
Filed under: uncultured bacterium
Lineage: Bacteria
Description: partial 16S ribosomal RNA
Rfam family: Bacterial small subunit ribosomal RNA
Source: RNAcentral
GACGAACGCUGGCGGCGUGCUUAACACAUGCAAGUCGAACGGAAAGGCCCUGCUUGCAGGGUGCUCGAGUGGCGAACGGGUGAGUAACACGUGGGUGAUCUGCCCCUUACUUUGGGAUAAGCCUGGGAAACUGGGUCUAAUACUGGAUAGGACCAUGCUGUAGGUGGUGGGGUGGAAAGAUUAGUUUCGGUAAGGGAUGAGCUCGCGGCCUAUCAGCUUGUUGGUGGGGUAAUGGCCUACCAAGGCGUCGACGGGUAGCCGGCCUGAGAGGGUGGACGGCCACAUUGGGACUGCGAUACGGCCCAGACUCCUACGGGCGGCAGCAGUGGGGCAUAUUGCACAAUGGGCGCAAGCCUGAUGCAGCGACGCCGCGUGGGGGGUGACGGCCUUCGGGUUGUAAACUCCUUUCAGCCAUGACGAAGCCCUUGUGGUGACGGUAGUGGUAGAAGAAGCACCGGCUAACUACGUG